CGUGUGAUCGCCCAAUGGGUAGGGCACCAGACUGAGGAUCUGGGGGUUGCGGGUUCGACUCCCGCUCACACCACC
This 75-nucleotide transfer RNA is filed under the name Tautonia plasticadhaerens. RNAcentral describes it as "Planctomycetes bacterium ElP tRNA-Leu". It matches the Rfam family "tRNA". From Rfam's summary of the family: Transfer RNA (tRNA) molecules are approximately 80 nucleotides in length. Their secondary structure includes four short double-helical elements and three loops (D, anti-codon, and T loops). The record is from RNAcentral. Lineage: Bacteria; Pseudomonadati; Planctomycetota; Planctomycetia; Isosphaerales; Isosphaeraceae.